RNAcentral lists this ribosomal RNA (741 nucleotides) under uncultured bacterium. RNAcentral's name for it is "bacterial SSU rRNA". It matches the Rfam family "Bacterial small subunit ribosomal RNA", at positions 75 to 816 of the family's 1533-position model. The record is from RNAcentral.
UUAGCUUGCUAGAAGAUGACGGGUGGCGGACGGGUGAGUAAUGCUUGGGAACUUGCCUUUGCGAGGGGGAUAACAGUUGGAGACGGCUGCUAAUACCGCAUAAUGUCUUCGGACCAAACGGGGCUUCGGCUCCGGCGCAAAGAGAGGCCCAAGUGAGAUUAGCUAGUUGGUAAGGUAACGGCUUACCAAGGCGACGAUCUCUAGCUGUUCUGAGAGGAAGAUCAGCCACACUGGGACUGAGACACGGCCCAGACUCCUACGGGAGGCAGCAGUGGGGAAUAUUGCACAAUGGGGGAAACCCUGAUGCAGCCAUGCCGCGUGUGUGAAGAAGGCCUUCGGGUUGUAAAGCACUUUCAGUUGUGAGGAAAAGUUAGUAGUUAAUACCUGCUAGCCGUGACGUUAACAACAGAAGAAGCACCGGCUAACUCCGUGCCAGCAGCCGCGGUAAUACGGAGGGUGCGAGCGUUAAUCGGAAUUACUGGGCGUAAAGCGCACGCAGGCGGUUUGUUAAGCUAGAUGUGAAAGCCCCGGGCUCAACCUGGGAUGGUCAUUUAGAACUGGCAGACUAGAGUCUUGGAGAGGGGAGUGGAAUUCCAGGUGUAGCGGUGAAAUGCGUAGAUAUCUGGAGGAACAUCAGUGGCGAAGGCGACUCCCUGGCCAAAGACUGACGCUCAUGUGCGAAAGUGUGGGUAGCGAACAGGAUUAGAUACCCUGGUAGUCCACACCGUAAACGCUGUCUAC